UACUAAAAUUAAUAACUAGAGAAACAUCAUAAAGUUAUUAUAAUCAUGAUGGAAAGAUUAUGAGAGAGGAAGGACAUGACUGACUAGAUAACAAUAACCAGCAGUCUGAGUGGACCAAAUCCAAAUGACUAGACCCAUAGACCAUGAAAUAAGAAUUAAAUUGGAUUAAAGGUGAUAUGAUAGGAAUUGUUAAUGAUGGGUGUUCUACAAAAGCCAAGGUGG
Molecule: long non-coding RNA, 222 nt
Filed under: Elaeis guineensis (African oil palm)
Lineage: Eukaryota; Viridiplantae; Streptophyta; Magnoliopsida; Arecales; Arecaceae
Description: long non-coding RNA (EGUI_LNC042214)
Source: RNAcentral